GUUGGGAAUCAGUGUCACAUGUACCAUCGCAGCCUAUCUGCUAGGUAUAAUGGCAGGAGCCGGGAGGUAUGAAACACUAGGACGCGUUGGGUCAUUCAUCAUUCACCUUAAAUCUGUAUGAUGCUUACACAUAAUGUGUUGAACUGUAGGAGCCAACUACUGAGAGCCAUAAAGGAGGUGAAAAAAAUCUGUUUGUGUGAGAUAAAACUGCGGAAUUGGCCAGGUUCGAUGGCGAGCUAGAGCCCAAGAAAAGAUUUGCACUUUUGGUGCUGGAAGACUUCUGCUUCUCCUGCCAGGCUGGUAGGAGGCCCUGAUGACCUGCACUGCACCAAGCACUUUAAUUGUAAUCUGCUUGGGACCUCUAAUCAACCCCAGCUUGGAGGUAGAUGAACUGAAGGGUGUGGGUCCAUUUAUGUUGGAACUGUGGGAUUGAUAAAUUUUGGUUUUUGUUUUCUUUUUUGCGCAUUUUUAUAUGGCCAUUUGGAUGUUUCCACUGUUGUAAAUAUGUAUAUAAUUUUUUCACACUAUAAAUACAAGGCACUCGCAACUGCAAA
Long non-coding RNA from Xiphophorus couchianus (Monterrey platyfish), 554 nucleotides. RefSeq lists it as uncharacterized. Lineage: Eukaryota; Metazoa; Chordata; Actinopteri; Cyprinodontiformes; Poeciliidae. The record is from RefSeq and is a predicted model, not a curated record. The transcript is spliced from 2 exons.